UUUAUGGAGAGUUUGAUCCUGGCUCAGGAUGAACGCUGGCGGCGUGCCUAAUACAUGCAAGUCGAGCGAACGGACGAGAAGCUUGCUUCUCUGAUGUUAGCGGCGGACGGGUGAGGAACACGUGGAUAACCUACCUAUAAGACUGGGAUAACUUCGGGAAACCGGAGCUAAUACCGGAUAAUAUUUUGAACCGCAUGGUUCAAAAGU
This 207-nucleotide ribosomal RNA is filed under the name Staphylococcus aureus. Its description in RNAcentral is "partial 16S ribosomal RNA". It matches the Rfam family "Bacterial small subunit ribosomal RNA", at positions 1 to 202 of the family's 1533-position model. Lineage: Bacteria; Bacillati; Bacillota; Bacilli; Caryophanales; Staphylococcaceae. The record is from RNAcentral.